Molecule: ribosomal RNA, 238 nt
Filed under: Enterococcus faecalis
Lineage: Bacteria; Bacillati; Bacillota; Bacilli; Lactobacillales; Enterococcaceae
Description: partial 16S ribosomal RNA
Rfam family: Bacterial small subunit ribosomal RNA
Source: RNAcentral
UUAUUAUGAGAGUUUGAUCCUGGCUCAGGACGAACGCUGGCGGCGUGCCUAAUACAUGCAAGUCGAACGCUUCUUUCCUCCCGAGUGCUUGCACUCAAUUGGAAAGAGGAGUGGCGGACGGGUGAGUAACACGUGGGUAACCUACCCAUCAGAGGGGGAUAACACUUGGAAACAGGUGCUAAUACCGCAUAACAGUUUAUGCCGCAUGGCAUAAGAGUGAAAGGCGCUUUCGGGUGUC